CUACGGGCUGCAGCAGUGGGGAAUAUUGGACAAUGGGGGAAACCCUGAUCCAGCAAUGCCGCGUGUGUGAAGAAGGCCUGCGGGUUGUAAAGCACUUUCGGUUGGGAGGACUACUUCUAGCACUAAUAUUGUUGGAAGUUGACGUUACCUUCAGAAGAAGCACCGGCUAACUCCGUGCCAGCAGCCGCGGUAAUACGGAGGGAUGCAAGCGUUAAUCGGAAGUACUGGGCGUAAAGCGCGCGUAGGCGGCUAGAUCAGUCGGGUGUGAAAGCCCCGGGCUUAACCUGGGGACUGCAUCCGAUACUGUCUAGCUUGAGUACAGGAGAGGAGAGUGGAAUUCCACGUGUAGCGGUGAAAUGCGUAGAUAUGUGGAGGAACACCAAUGGCGAAGGCAGCUCUCUGGCCUGAUACUGACGCUGAGGUGCGAAAGCGUGGGGAGCAAACAGGAUUAGAUACCCCAGUAGUC
RNAcentral lists this ribosomal RNA (466 nucleotides) under uncultured bacterium. Its description in RNAcentral is "partial 16S ribosomal RNA". It matches the Rfam family "Bacterial small subunit ribosomal RNA", at positions 339 to 795 of the family's 1533-position model. The record is from RNAcentral.